This 347-nucleotide ribosomal RNA is filed under the name Proteus mirabilis. RNAcentral's name for it is "partial 16S ribosomal RNA". It matches the Rfam family "Bacterial small subunit ribosomal RNA", at positions 32 to 374 of the family's 1533-position model. The record is from RNAcentral. Lineage: Bacteria; Pseudomonadati; Pseudomonadota; Gammaproteobacteria; Enterobacterales; Morganellaceae.
UUGACGCUGGCGGCAGGCCUAACACAUGCAAGUCGAGCGGUAACAGGAGAAAGCUUGCUUUCUUGCUGACGAGCGGCGGACGGGUGAGUAAUGUAUGGGGAUCUGCCCGAUAGAGGGGGAUAACUACUGGAAACGGUGGCUAAUACCGCAUAAUGUCUACGGACCAAAGCAGGGGCUCUUCGGACCUUGCACUAUCGGAUGAACCCAUAUGGGAUUAGCUAGUAGGUGGGGUAAAGGCUCACCUAGGCGACGAUCUCUAGCUGGUCUGANAGGAUGAUCAGCCACACUGGGACUGAGACACGNCCCAGACUCCUACGGNAGGCNGCUUGNGNAAUAUUNUNCAAUGG